AUACUUACCUGGCAGGGGAGAUACCAUGAUCACGAAGGUGGUUUUCCCAGGGCGAGGCUUAUCCAUUGCACUCCGGAUGUGCUGACCCCUGCGAUUUCCCCAAAUGUGGGAAACUCGACUGCAUAAUUUGUGGUAGUGGGGACUGCGUUCGCGCUUUCCCUG
This 162-nucleotide small nuclear RNA is filed under the name Bos grunniens (domestic yak). Its description in RNAcentral is "U1 spliceosomal RNA (ENSBGRG00000009318.1)". It matches the Rfam family "U1 spliceosomal RNA". Rfam says of the family: U1 is a small nuclear RNA (snRNA) component of the spliceosome (involved in pre-mRNA splicing). The record is from RNAcentral. Lineage: Eukaryota; Metazoa; Chordata; Mammalia; Artiodactyla; Bovidae.